UUAGAGUUUGAUCCUGGCUCAGGAUGAACGCUGGCGGCAUGCCUAAUACAUGCAAGUCGAACGAGAGACCUUCGGGUCUCUAGUGGCGAACGGGUGAGUAACACGUAGGGAACCUGCCCGCGCACCGGGAAUACGCUCUGGAAACGGAGAACAAAUCCCGAUGUACAGGAAGGAGGCAUCUUCUUUCUGUGAAACAUCCUCUAGGGGAUGGGGCGCGGAUGGACCUGCGGUGCAUUAGUUUGUUGGCGGGGUAAAGGCCCACCAAGACGAUGAUGCAUAGCCGGCCUGAGAGGGCGGACGGCCACAUUGGGACUGAGACACGGCCCAGACUCCUGCGGGAGGCAGCAGUAGGGAAUUUUCGUCAAUGGGCGCAAGCCUGAACGAGCGAUGCCGCGUGAGUGAAGAAGGCCUUCGGGUCGUAAAGCUCUGUUGCGGGGGAAAAAAGGCAGCAUCAGGAAAUGGGUGCUGACUGAUGGUGCCCCGCCAGAAAGUCACGGCUAACUACGUGCCAGCAGCCGCGGUAAUACGUAGGUGGCGAGCGUUAUCCGGAAUGAUUGGGCGUAAAGGGUGCGCAGGCGGUCCUGCAAGUCUGGAGUGAAACGCAUGAGCUCAACUCAUGCAUGGCUUUGGAAACUGGAGGACUGGAGAGCAGGAGAGGGCGGUGGAACUCCAUGUGUAGCGGUAAAAUGCGUAGAUAUAUGGAAGAACACCAGUGGCGAAGGCGGCCGCCUGGCCUGUUGCUGACGCUGAGGCACGAAAGCGUGGGGAGCAAAUAGGAUUAGAUACCCUAGUAGUCCACGCCGUAAACGAUGAGGACCAAGUGUUGGGGGUGAAACCUCAGUGCUGAAGUUAACGCAGUGAGUCCUCCGCCUGGGGAGUAUGCACGCAAGUGUGAAACUCAAAGGAAUUGACGGGGGCCCGCACAAGCGGUGGAGCAUGUGGUUUAAUUCGAAGCAACGCGAAGAACCUUACCAGGCCUUGACAUCCUGAUGGCGCGGGCGUAACGGUCCGUUCCCUCCGGGGCAUCAGAGACAGGUGGUGCAUGGUUGUCGUCAGCUCGUGUCGUGAGAUGUUGGGUUAAGUCCCGCAACGAGCGCAACCCUUAUUCCCAGUAGCCAGCAUUUCGGAUGGGCACUCUGGGGAGACUGCCGGGGAAGACCCGGAGGAAGGCGGGGAUGACGUCAAAUCAUCAUGCCCCUUAUGGCCUGGGCUACACACGUGCUACAAUGGCGCAUACAAAGGGAGGCAAAGGAGCGAUCUGAAGCAAAUCCCAGAAAAGGCGCCCCAGUUCGGAUUGUAGCCUGCAACUCGGCUGCAUGAAGCUGGAAUCGCUAGUAAUCGCGGAUCAGCAUGCCGCGGUGAAUACGUUCCCGGGCCUUGCACACACCGCCCGUCA
Molecule: ribosomal RNA, 1396 nt
Filed under: uncultured bacterium
Lineage: Bacteria
Description: bacterial SSU rRNA
Rfam family: Bacterial small subunit ribosomal RNA
Source: RNAcentral